AUACGUAGGGGGCGAGCGUUGUCCGGAAUGACUGGGCGUAAAGGGCGUGUAGGCGGCGAUUUGAGUUUGGAGUGAAAGUCCCGUUUUCAAGAUGGGAAUUGCUUUGGAUACUGGAUUGCUUGAGUACAGAAGAGGUAAGCGGAAUUCCCGGUGUAGCGGUGAAAUGCGUAGAGAUCGGGAGGAACACCAGUGGCGAAGGCGGCUUACUGGGCUGUAACUGACGCUGAGGCGCGAAAGCGUGGGGAGCGAACAGGAUUAGAUACCCUGGUAGUCCACGCGGUAAACGAUGAAUGCUAGGUGUAGCGGGUAUCGACCCCUGCUGUGCCGCAGUAAACACAAUAAGCAUUCCGCCUGGGGAGUACGGCCGCAAGGUUGAAACUCAAAGGAAUUGACGGGG
Molecule: ribosomal RNA, 397 nt
Filed under: uncultured bacterium
Lineage: Bacteria
Description: partial 16S ribosomal RNA
Rfam family: Bacterial small subunit ribosomal RNA
Source: RNAcentral